GAAAGUAAACAAGGGCGCAUGGCGGAUGCCUUGGCUCUCGGAGGCGAUGAAGGACGUGAUAAGCUGCGAUAAGCUCCGGGGAGGUGCAAAUAACCUUUGAUCCGGGGAUUUCCGAAUGGGACAACCCGGCGUGUUGAAGACACGCCACCUGAUCAUUUCAGGAGCUAACGCAGGGAACUGAAACAUCUUAGUACCUGCAGGAAAAGAAAAUAACAAUGAUUCCCCCAGUAGUGGCGAGCGAACGGGGAAUAGCCCAAAGACAUCGGAGAAGAACUUUCUGGAAAGAAAGACCAUAGAGCAUGACAGUUGCGUAUUCGUAUGUUGUCGAAGCAUAGUAGUAUCCUGAGUAGCGCGGAGCACGAGGAAUUCUGCGUGAAUCUGCCGGGACCAUCCGGUAAGGCUAAAUACUCCCGAGAGACCGAUAGCGAACCAGUACCGUGAGGGAAAGGUGAAAAGCACUUCGAACAGAAGAGUGAAAUAGUUCCUGAAACCGUGCGCCUACAAGCGGUCGGAGCUGCUUAAAGCAGUGACGGCGUGCCUUUUGCAUAAUGAACCUACGAGUUGCCUUUGCCGGCAAGGUUAAGUGUGACGACACACGUAUCCGAAGCGAAAGCGAGUCUGAAUAGGGCGUAUAGUCGGCAGUGGCAGACGCGAAACCAAGUGAUCUACCCUUGGCCAGGUUGAAGGCUGGGUAACACCAGCUGGAGGACCGCACCAAUAAGCGUUGAAAAGCUUCUGGAUGAGCUGAGGGUAGGGGUGAAAGGCUAAUCAAACUUGGAGAUAGCUCGUACUCCCCGAAAUGCAUUUAUAAACUAACGAAGUCUGACUGCUAAGACAGCUAGGAUGUUGGCUUGGAAGCAGCCAUUCAUUUAAAGAGUGCGUAACAGCUCACUAGUCGAGGAGUCUGGCGUGGAUAAUAAUCGGGUAUUAAGUUGUCUACCGAAGCAGUGGGAUCAUUGAAAUGAUCGGUAGGGGAGCAUUCCAGUCAGCGUCGAAGGCGUACCGCGAGGUAUUCUGGAGCGUCUGGAAAAGCAAAUGUAGGUAUAAGUAACGAUAAAGGGGGCGGGAAACCCCCUCGCCGAAAGACUAAGGUUUCCUGAUCAACGCUAAUCGGAUCAGGGUAAGUCGGGUCCUAAGGCUCAGCCGAAGGGCGAUGCCGAUGGCAGAAACGGUUAAUAUUCCGUUACUACCUCCAGGAGUGAUGUGGAGACGCAGUAGUGACAAUGCCGCCAUCUGACGGAAUAGAUGGUUGAAGGGUGUAGAUGUUGAUCUUGGCAGGCAAAUCCACCAUGAGAAUCGAACCUGAUAGUAUGCCGCGUCCCUCGGGACAAGGCAAUAGUGCAUGUAAUCAUGCUGCCAAGAAAAUCCGCUAAACUAAAUCCUGUAGGUACCCGUACCGUAAACGGACACACGUAGUCGGGAUGAAUAUUCUAAGGCGCUUGAGUGAUUCACGGUUAAGGAACUAGGCAAACUGACCCUGUAACUUCGGGAUAAAGGGUCCCUACCCGGUGACGGGAGGGCGCAGAGAAUAGGUCCAGGCAACUGUUUAACAAAAACACAGGGCUGUGCUAAAUCGAAAGAUCCUGUAUACAGCCUGACACCUGCCCGGUGCUGGAAGGUUAAGAGGAGACGUCAUCGUUGAGAGAAGCGUUGAAUUGAAGCCCCAGUAAACGGCGGCCGUAACUAUAACGGUCCUAAGGUAGCGAAAUUCCUUGUCGGGUAAGUUCCGACCUGCACGAAUGGUGUAAU
RNAcentral lists this ribosomal RNA (1749 nucleotides) under human gut metagenome. RNAcentral's name for it is "bacterial LSU rRNA". It matches the Rfam family "Bacterial large subunit ribosomal RNA", at positions 1 to 2005 of the family's 2925-position model. The record is from RNAcentral.